RNAcentral lists this ribosomal RNA (327 nucleotides) under uncultured soil bacterium. RNAcentral's name for it is "bacterial SSU rRNA". It matches the Rfam family "Bacterial small subunit ribosomal RNA", at positions 26 to 352 of the family's 1533-position model. The record is from RNAcentral.
AGAUUGAACGCUGGCGGCAGGCCUAACACAUGCAAGUCGAGCGGCAGCACGGGUACUUGUACCUGGUGGCGAGCGGCGGACGGGUGAGUAAUGCCUAGGAAUCUGCCUGGUAGUGGGGGAUAACGCUCGGAAACGGACGCUAAUACCGCAUACGUCCUACGGGAGAAAGCAGGGGACCUUCGGGCCUUGCGCUAUCAGAUGAGCCUAGGUCGGAUUAGCUAGUUGGUGAGGUAAUGGCUCACCGAAGGCGACGAUCCGUAACUGGUCUGAGAGGAUGAUCAGUCACACUGGAACUGAGACGACGGUCCAGACUCCGACGGGAGCAGC